This 433-nucleotide ribosomal RNA is filed under the name uncultured bacterium. RNAcentral's name for it is "partial 16S ribosomal RNA". It matches the Rfam family "Bacterial small subunit ribosomal RNA", at positions 29 to 507 of the family's 1533-position model. The record is from RNAcentral.
AACGAACGCUGGCGGCAUGCCUAGCACAUGCAAGUCGAACGAGACCUUCGGGUCUAGUGGCGCACGGGUGCGUAACGCGUGGGAACCUGCCCUUAGGUUCGGAAUAACUCCCCGAAAGGGGUGCUAAUACCGGAUAAUGUCUUCGGACCAAAGAUUUAUCGCCUUUGGAUGGGCCCGUGUUGGAUUAGCUAGUUGGUAGGGUAAAAGCCUACCAAGGCGACGAUCCAUAGCUGGUCUGAGAGGAUGAUCAGCCACACUGGGACUGAGACACGGCCCAGACUCCUACGGGAGGCAGCAGUGGGGAAUAUUGGACAAUGGGCGAAAGCCUGAUCCAGCAAUGCCGCGUGAGUGAUGAAGGCCUUAGGGUUGUAAAGCUCUUUUACCCGGGAUGAUAAUGACAGUACCGGGAGAAUAAGCUCCGGCUAACUCCGUG